Small nuclear RNA from Dalotia coriaria, 119 nucleotides. RefSeq annotates it as U4atac minor spliceosomal RNA. The transcript has a single exon. The record is from RefSeq and is a predicted model, not a curated record. NCBI's taxonomy places the organism in Eukaryota, Metazoa, Arthropoda, Insecta, Coleoptera, Staphylinidae.
ACCUUCCUUGUUUAGGGGAGCGGAAUGCACCUAUGAGCGUUUAGUGAGGUCAUUCAUGCUGGCACCUAUAUAAUUCCCGCACCCAUUGCUAAAUGCAUUCGAGUGCAAUUUUUGGAGGG